RNAcentral lists this ribosomal RNA (468 nucleotides) under uncultured bacterium. RNAcentral's name for it is "partial 16S ribosomal RNA". It matches the Rfam family "Bacterial small subunit ribosomal RNA", at positions 28 to 507 of the family's 1533-position model. The record is from RNAcentral.
GACGAACGCUGGCGGCGGGCUUAACACAUGCAAGUCGAACGGAAAGACCCUGCUUUUGUGGGGUGCUCGAGUGGCAAACGGGUGAGUAACACGUAAGUAACCUGCCCUUGCCUUUGGGAUAGCUUCAGGAAACUGGGGCUAAUACCGGAUCGGAGCUCCUGCUGCCUGGUGGGGGUUGGAAAGUUUCGGCGGUUGGGGAUGGACUCGCGGCUUAUCAGCUUGUUGGUGGGGGAGUGGCUUACCAAGGCUUUGACGGGUAGCCGGCCUGAGAGGGUGACCGGCCACAUUGGGACUGAGAUACGGCCCAGACUCCUACGGGAGGCAGCAGUGUGGAAUAUUGCACAAUGGGCCGAAGCCUGAUGCAGCAACGCCGCGUGCGGGAUGACGGCCUUCUGGUUGUAAACCGCUUCCGCCUGUGACGAAGCGUGAGUGACGGUAACGUGUAAAGAAGCACCGGCUAACUACGUG